Molecule: unclassified non-coding RNA, 214 nt
Filed under: rhizosphere metagenome
Description: partial ribosomal RNA internal transcribed spacer region
Source: RNAcentral
UAUCGGUAGUUUACUACCGUUUGAAGGGGGUGGAAAGCUUCUAGGUCUUCCUAGAGGCGAGUACAUCCUGUUCUUAACCCUUGACUUUUUGCGCACUCAUGUUUCCUCGGCAGGCUUGCCUGCCGAACGGACAAAUCAAUAACCUAUUUAAUAUUUAAUCAGCGUCUGAAUUAUUUUAAUAAUUACAACUUUCAACAACGGAUCUCUUGGUUCU